CAAUAGCGUAUAUUAAAGUUGUUGCAGUUAAAAAGCUCGUAGUUGGAUUUCUGGGCUGGCCGGACGGUCCACCUCACGGUGAGAACUGGCUGGUCGGCCCUUCCUCUCGAAGUCUGGCGGUGUCCUUAACUGGGUGCUGUUGGAAUUCGGGACCUUUACUUUGAAAAAUUAGAGUGUUCAAAGCAGGCCUUCGCUUGAAUACAUUAGCAUGGAAUAAUGGAAUAGGACUUUGGUUCUAUUUUGUUGGUUUCUAGAACUAAAGUAAUGAUUAAUAGGGAUAAUUGGGGGCAUUUGUAUUCACGCGUCAGAGGUGGAAUUCUUGGAUUGCGUUACGACAAACUACUGCGAAAGCAUUUGCCAAGGAUGUUUUCAUUGAUCAAGAACGAAAGUAUGGGAUCGAAGACGAUCAGAUACCA
Molecule: ribosomal RNA, 416 nt
Filed under: uncultured eukaryote
Lineage: Eukaryota
Description: bacterial SSU rRNA
Rfam family: Eukaryotic small subunit ribosomal RNA
Source: RNAcentral